Molecule: ribosomal RNA, 497 nt
Filed under: uncultured bacterium
Lineage: Bacteria
Description: partial 16S ribosomal RNA
Rfam family: Bacterial small subunit ribosomal RNA
Source: RNAcentral
GAUGAACGCUGGCGGCGUGCUUAACACAUGCAAGUCGAGCGAACAGGUAAGGUUCUUGCUGGUUUCACGUUCGGGGCGGAGGGGAGUGUCACGCGAGGUUCAUCUUCCUGUAAGAUUGGUAUCACUACGGGAAACUGGUGCUAAUUCCGUAUUACAUUUAGAAGCGCGGGGUUUUCGAGUGAAAGACGGUUUUGCUAUCCUUUCUCGCGGUACCUGGGCCGUAUUGUCUAGUUGUUAGGGUAACGGCUUACCAAGGCGACGAUACGUAACCGACCUGAGAGGGUGAUAGGCCACACUGGAACUGAGACACGGUCCAGACUCCUACGGGAGGCAGCAGUAGGGAAUAUUCGGCAAUGGGCGAAAGCCUGACGGAGCAAGGCCGCGUGUGUGAUGAAGGUCUUCGGAUCGUAAAACACUGUUAGUGGGGAAGAACAGCUGUGAAAGGAAACGUGGACGUCUUGACGGUACCGAAUCAAAAAGCACCGGCUAACUACGUG